Carassius carassius (crucian carp) is the source of this 1226-nucleotide long non-coding RNA. RefSeq lists it as uncharacterized. Lineage: Eukaryota; Metazoa; Chordata; Actinopteri; Cypriniformes; Cyprinidae. The transcript has 3 exons. The record is from RefSeq and is a predicted model, not a curated record.
GCUAGAGAAAGUGUGGCUUCUCGUGGUCACUGUGGAAGAGGAACUGCUCCGAAGCCGCUCGGGGGAAUUUUAAUGGUGGAGUUGGAGACCACUGCUGAGAGAGAAUGACUUAAGGAGCUGAUCUGAUGCCAAAUCUCUCCAUCUGGAAGCAUGAUCAUGGCAUACAGCUGUUAACGAAGUCUUCAAAACAUCCCAGAGAAAUCAGUUUCUGCAUACUCACUACUGAUGGCGGUCAGCUCCACUAAUUCUCCGUCCUGACUGGGAAAUGGAUCUUGGCCCCAGUUUAAGUGGACGGCUGGUUUCUUUCAUUACUCUAGGGGUUUGUUUGUCUUAACUGCCCGUUAUUAGGACAGUGAACUUCCGAGCCCGUGCCGGAAUGACUACCACAUGUUUGUGCUUUGAAAUUCCAGCCAAAACAAAAGAAUAAAAAUUCUCCACACAAUUCCCAUGAGGAGAACUGCGGAAAUAACCAGGCAGUCUCACAGAGUAUGGAAAUCCAUUCUUUUUUUUUCUUAACCGCACCGCCCGAAGGGUUAAAAACCCAUCCGGCACAUUUACGGUAUUCUGCACCCGUUUUCUCUAAUUCUGCCUCCUGGAAACCUUCACGAAUAAUGCAAACCUGGAAAUGAAACACUUUCCCUUUGGGGCCAACUGUACAUGAACCUGAAAGCAAAGAGGACUCACUACAAAGCAAAACUUUAGUCAGAUCUCUAUGAAGUGAUAAAGUAUCUCCUGGCAGAGAUGCACCAAUGUGAACUCCAGAAGUCUGCUGGUAUUUGGUCUUUCUUUGUUCUUCCUGGGGCAUUGGGUUGGGUAGGAUCCAAUUUGACCGUGUCUGGUUGCAAUGAAUACCGUUGAUGCGGUGAAGAGGAGCGGAGAUAUAAAACACACACACACACACAAACACACACUUGAGAUAAAAGGACCAGCGAGCUGCGGCUUGAAGCGUCUCGCCGGGUGUGUCUGUGGACAUGCCACUCAUUCCUGGUUGCAAUCAACAAAGUGAAACCAAAUGAGGGUCUGUGUGUGGGUGGACUUGCGUGUGAAUGUGUGUGUGUUUUAUGAUAAGGUCUGGUGGUGGUGAGUGAUUGUAUGAUGGAUUGGACAGGAGGCGCAACUGCCAUCUGCGCAGUAAACAAGAAUGACUCAGAGAAACACAAAUCAGUUUCAUUAGUUCAGCAGAUUUUGGUGUGCCUUCCGUCAAAGACAUUUAGUGUACAGCAAAA